Long non-coding RNA from Ictalurus punctatus (channel catfish), 2418 nucleotides. The record is from Ensembl. Lineage: Eukaryota; Metazoa; Chordata; Actinopteri; Siluriformes; Ictaluridae.
AUAUAUAUAAUUUUUUUUACGAAAAGUUUUUUCGUAGCGACCUGCGCCGAUUCCGUCGUCUCGUCUCCGUGAUGAAGUGCAACUCCGUAGACAGUGUUUUAGGGACAGUCUGUGUGGAAGCAACGGAUGCCUGCGCGUUACGCCACGUUGUGGUACUGUAUUCAUCGUAGUUGCUCUGUGCAUGUCUAGCUAGCUAGCUAGUUAGGCUCCUUCCUGUAUUCGCUGUGCUUGUGGCGUCGGUGAUAUGUUCAGUGCCCUUCGCUUGCUCUGUGAUCCGAACAUUCGCGUUUUUUUUUUUUUAGCGAUUCACGUGUUCUUAUUUAUUGCCGAGUAUUUAUUCACGUCCACCGUCACACGAUCACGUGCACUACUGUACUCUACGUCCGUAGCACAUCGAUGUUAUCGGAUCAUUAUAUUGAAGUCUACUGUACACUCCGACAUACACACGAAAAAAAAAAAAUGUAAAAAGAAAAAAAUAAUUCCUUAAUAUUAAUGUUUUAUUCCGUGUCUUCGAGACUACCUUUUUAUUAACUAUAACGGAUUAUUUAAUAAUGUUUGUUUGUGCUAACUUAUUUGAUCAAAUCGUCGGACACAAUAACGUGCGAUCCAGUCAUGUAUAUUUGGGACGUGAACGAUGGUUGAAGGAAAAUAAAAAUAAAAAGAUCAAAAUAACGUUAGGACGAGUGUCCCAGAGUCCGUGAAGGAACGUUCCAGACAACAUUUACACCGUCACGUAAUCCCUUUAACGCUCCGCUAUAGCUGGAGUUUGUGCUCAGUACUGUGUCCUCCUCUUGCUGUGCAACGUGUGUUGUUUAUUUGCCCCGUUUUUGUUUUUCCUCGUUGUACGAAGUUGUAUUUAUUUCUAUUUUUCUAGCUUGGAUUGUAUUUUUCUAUUUCACUUAUUCGUCAUCCCCCCCCCCCCCCCCCCCCCCAAUUAUUUAUGACUCAGCAGGGUUUUUGGUGGUAAUAUUUUAAAAAAGAAAAAACAAGCUAACUCAACCCACCCAGUUGCAAUUAUGUGUAUAGUUAUAGAUUAAUUAACAUAUAGUUGCUUUUGAACGUUUUAACGUGAUUAAAAACUUAAUAUAUUCAGUUAUUUUAUUAUUUGAAGGUUUUUAUUAUUAUUAUUAUUAUUAUUAUUAUUAUUAUUAUUAUUAAUUUUAUGGAAAACACUUGAGCCUCUCUGUCUCUCCCCCUCACUGACGUGCAGAAACUUGAACACACUUUGAAAGGCUGACUAACCUCGGAUCUGUGUCGUGUCGUGCAAUACUGUUUCUAACGUUUGUAUAAAAAGAAUAGUGAGAAUUACAGUGUAUACCUUUUUAACGCAGAUUUAUUUUUGUCAUUGCCUAUUUUGCAGAGUUCCGAUUCACGGUUGUCAUUUUUUUACGGUCGGAAAAAAGAUGAAACCCCUUUUUUUCAUUGCGACUAUUUUUAAUAACCCAGAUCUCUUUGUACUGAUGUAAAUGAUUGUAGUUUAUUUUGGAUAGCGUUUUUUGCUAAGAAAAAAAAACAAAAUCAAAAGGAGACUUUUUUCAUGCAUUUCUAUUUCAUUUCAUCUUGUUUUACUCCUCUUUUUUUCACUUUAAUAGUGGCGAAAAUACUUGGAAUAAUUUUUCAUAUAUGUCAUUAACAUUAUUUUGUAUUUUUAUGUGGAAAUAUAUAAAUAUCUAAUUUUAUGAUGCUAAUUGCUAAGAUGUUAUUCAUUUGAAUUAUUUUUCAAGCUGAGAUCUUUGUAAUAUUGUUAAUGUUACUAGUUUCUAAAGCAGAGUCUGUGUACAGAUCUGCUCGAGCGGUUUAUGAAGUGUUCUGAUUGUAAUUAUUACUGAAUGGAUCUUUGAUAUGCAAAAUGAAUAUGAUGUUGAUUUUUAUUUUGAUUAUUAUUAUUUUAUUUAUUUUUAUUUUUUUGUAUUUAAAUGGGGUGUUGAUUACAAUCUUUAUUUCGUUUUUCAGUUUCAUGAAUAAAGAGCCGUUCUGUUCGGACACAGCUGGAGCCUUUAUAAUGGUUUAAUAUAUAAAUGUAUUAUAGGGGCUUGAAAUCAAAGGGACAUAAGACGUAAGGGACGUAUUUGGACCACAAAAAAAAAACAAAAAAAAAAAAAAACUUAUGUGUCAAAGAAAAGGUCUCAGUAUUUUAAUGACAGCUAGUACCAAAACAAAUAUAAAUGUUAGGCUAGGUUUAAAUAUUAAUCAAAACUGAAUUAUAAUAAUAUGGUUAUAAUAAUAUAAUUAUAAUAUAGAUAUAAUAAUAGAAAGACCAAUAUGUUCAGGCUAAACAUUUUUGAGUUGUGUUUUAUAUAUAACCAUAAUACUUGUACUUACAAACUAUACUGAUAUGUAGUUUAAGAGGUUUUUCAUAAUUAAGAACUAAUAUUUUUUUAAUUAAUUUGACAAAUUAUUAACCAUUUAAAUAAAAAU